This 26-nucleotide small RNA is filed under the name Bombyx mori (domestic silkworm). Its description in RNAcentral is "ovarian small RNA-15286". Lineage: Eukaryota; Metazoa; Arthropoda; Insecta; Lepidoptera; Bombycidae. The record is from RNAcentral.
GAAUACGAGAAUUAUUUAAAGGACAA